This is a long non-coding RNA of Triticum urartu, 804 nucleotides long. RefSeq lists it as uncharacterized. The record is from RefSeq and is a predicted model, not a curated record. NCBI's taxonomy places the organism in Eukaryota, Viridiplantae, Streptophyta, Magnoliopsida, Poales, Poaceae.
CUCAUCUCACGAGUAGACACUCAUGGGCACCGCAGGCGGAACCUCGCACCGCGGCAGCCCUGGAAUACUACCGUCCAAAAAUUGCCCGGCUACCUCCCGCAGCGCCGGCGCGGGGAUCUGGGCGACGGCGGCGGGGCCAGGUCCUGGAGGCAACCCCGGCUGUGCUUGGUUGUAGUGGUCGCGAGAUGGAGCCGCGGGCGCGAGGACCUGGGUUAGGAGCUGGUCGUAGACGCCGGCGCGACGACCUAGGCUUGGUCGUGGUGGCCGCUCCCCCACGACCCUGCCGACGCCGGCGCGAGUUCCUGGAGGCCAACCCCUGGCUGGGCAUGGCGUAGUGGUGGACCAACGGAGCAAGAAAAGUCACAACGUAGGGGGAGCAACGUCGUCAUCAACUUUGAAGGCCACGUUGUUGCAAUCUUCCAAAUGUGCUAGCAGCAAAAAAAGAUGAGUGCAUGUUGUUAAUCUUCUUGAAACAAAACUCUCCUUUUUUCAAAUUGCUUUACUAACCAUUCUCUGUUUUUCAAGGAUGAGUAAAUUACAGGCAAGCAGGAACCAACAGCUGCUUCUUCCAUCGAUUCUGCAAUCCCCGGUCCAUAUUUUUGCUGAUAACUAUCCAUCAGUUCCUAGUUUGUAUAGAGGCUGAACUUCUUGUUUCAAAUACUUGGAGAACGCUUUUGAUCCAGUGGCAACUUACGGGAAUAAUAAUGUAUGUUAUAAUGUCACUGAAGGGAGUUUCACAGUUUGUAUUGUAUGUCAUGGACGCUGUCAGAUUAUGGUCAAUCCAUUUCAUGUAGUUUACUUUCA